This 30-nucleotide non-coding RNA is filed under the name Rattus norvegicus (Norway rat). Lineage: Eukaryota; Metazoa; Chordata; Mammalia; Rodentia; Muridae. The record is from RNAcentral.
UGAUGGGAUCUGAUGCCUUCUUCUGGUGUG